RNAcentral lists this ribosomal RNA (699 nucleotides) under uncultured bacterium. RNAcentral describes it as "bacterial SSU rRNA". It matches the Rfam family "Bacterial small subunit ribosomal RNA", at positions 8 to 682 of the family's 1533-position model. The record is from RNAcentral.
AGAGUUUGAUCCUGGCUCAGAACGAACGCUGGCGGCGUGCUUAAGACAUGCAAGUCGAACGGAAAGGUCCCCUUCGGGGGACACUCGAGUGGCGCACGGGUGAGUAACGCGUGGGUAAUCUGCCUUCGGGUCUGGGACAACCCCGGGAAACUGGGGCUAAUACCGGAUAAGACCACGGAUCCUUCGGGGUCUGUGGAAAAAGAUGGCCUCUCCUUGGAAGCUAUCGCCUGUUGAUGAGCCCGCGUCCCAUUAGCUUGUUGGUGAGGUAACGGCUCACCAAGGCUUCGAUGGGUAGCUGGUCUGAGAGGAUGAUCAGCCACACUGGAACUGAGACACGGUCCAGACUCCUACGGGAGGCAGCAGUCGGGAAUUUUGGGCAAUGGGCGAAAGCCUGACCCAGCAACGCCGCGUGAGGGAUGAAGGCCUUCGGGUCGUAAACCUCUGUCGGGAGGGAAGAACGGUUGCCAUUCAAAUAGGUUGGCAGCCUGACGGUACCUCCAAAGGAAGCACCGGCUAACUCCGUGCCAGCAGCCGCGGUAAUACGGAGGGUGCAAGCGUUGUUCGGAAUCAUUGGGCGUAAAGCGCGUGUAGGCCGCUUGGUAAGUCGGGUGUGAAAUCCCGGGGCUCAACCCCGGAACUGCAUUCGAAACUGCCUAGCUAGAGUCUCGGAGAGGAAGGCGGAAUUCCCCGUGCAGAGGU